GCGGCAUGCCUUACACAUGCAAGUCGAACGGCAGCGGGGGUAGCUUGCUACCUGCCGGCGAGUGGCGAACGGGUGAGUAAUACAUCGGAACGUGCCCUGUAGUGGGGGAUAACUAGUCGAAAGACUAGCUAAUACCGCAUACGACCUGAGGGUGAAAGUGGGGGACCGCAAGGCCUCAUGCUAUAGGAACGGCCGAUGUCUGAUUAGCUAGUUGGUGGGGUAAAGGCCCACCAAGGGCACCAUUAGUAGCUGGUCUGAGAGGACGAUCAGCCACACUGGGACUGAGACACGGCCCAGACUCCUACCGGAGGCAACAAUGGGGAAUUUUGGACAAUGGGGGCAACCCUGAUCCAGCAAUGCCCCGUGUGUGAAGAAGGCCUUCGGGUUGUAAAGCACUUUUGUCCCGAAAGAAAUCCCACUUGUUAAUACCUGGUGUUGAUGACGGUACCGGAAGAAUAAGGACCGGCUAACUACGUGCCAGCAGCCGCGGUAAUACGUAGGGUCCAAGCGUUAAUCGGAAUUACUGGGCGUAAAGCGUGCGCAGGCGGUUGUGCAAGACCGAUGUGAAAUCCCCGGGCUUAACCUGGGAAUUGCAUUGGUGACUGCACGGCUAGAGUGUGUCAGAGGGAGGUAGAAUUCCACGUGUAGCAGUGAAAUGCGUAGAGAUGUGGAGGAAUACCGAUGGCGAAAGCAGCCUCCUGGGAUAACACUGACGCUCAUGCACGAAAGCGUGGGGAGCAAACAGGAUUAGAUACCCUGGUAGUCCACGCCCUAAACGAUGUCAACUAGUUGUUGGGGAUUCAUUUCCUUAGUAACGUAGCUAACGCGUGAAGUUGACCGCCUGGGGAGUACGGUCGCAAGAUUAAAACUCAAAGGAAUUGACGGGGACCCGCACAAGCGGUGGAUGAUGUGGAUUAAUUCGAUGCAACGCGAAAAACCUUACCUACCCUUGACAUGCCACUAACGAAGCAGAGAUGCAUUAGGUGCUCGAAAGAGAAAGUGGACACAGGUGCUGCAUGGCUGUCGUCAGCUCGUGUCGUGAGAUGUUGGGUUAAGUCCCGCAACGAGCGCAACCCUUGUCUCUAGUUGCUACGAAAGGGCACUCUAGAGAGACUGCCGGUGACAAACCGGAGGAAGGUGGGGAUGACGUCAAGUCCUCAUGGCCCUUAUGGGUAGGGCUUCACACGUCAUACAAUGGUGCAUACAGAGGGUUGCCAAGCCGCGAGGUGGAGCUAAUCCCAGAAAAUGCAUCGUAGUCCGGAUCGUAGUCUGCAACUCGACUACGUGAAGCUGGAAUCGCUAGUAAUCGCGGAUCAGCAUGCCGCGGUGAAUACGUUCCCGGGUCUUGUACACACCGCCCGUCACACCAUGGGAGUGGGCUUUACCAGAAGUAGUUAGCCUAACCGCAAGGAGGGCGAUUACCACG
This 1426-nucleotide ribosomal RNA is filed under the name Ralstonia solanacearum. Its description in RNAcentral is "bacterial SSU rRNA". It matches the Rfam family "Bacterial small subunit ribosomal RNA". Lineage: Bacteria; Pseudomonadati; Pseudomonadota; Betaproteobacteria; Burkholderiales; Burkholderiaceae. The record is from RNAcentral.